This 484-nucleotide ribosomal RNA is filed under the name uncultured bacterium. RNAcentral describes it as "partial 16S ribosomal RNA". It matches the Rfam family "Bacterial small subunit ribosomal RNA", at positions 38 to 507 of the family's 1533-position model. The record is from RNAcentral.
GGGGGGGGGGGGCGGGGGGGGGGGCGCGUGCGGGGCGAGCGGGGGGGGGGAGCUUGCUCCGGGGUGCAGCGGCGGACGGGUGGGUAAUGCCUAGGAAUCUGCCUGGUAGUGGGGGAUAACGUCCGGAAACGGGCGCUAAUACCGCAUACGUCCUGAGGGAGAAAGUGGGGGAUCUUCGGACCUCACGCUAUCAGAUGAGCCUAGGUCGGAUUAGCUAGUUGGUGGGGUAAAGGCCUCCCAAGGCGACGAUCCGUAACUGGUCUGAGAGGAUGAUCAGUCACACUGGAACUGAGACACGGUCCAGACUCCUACGGGAGGCAGCAGUGGGGAAUAUUGGACAAUGGGCGAAAGCCUGAUCCAGCCAUGCCGCGUGUGUGAAGAAGGUCUUCGGAUUGUAAAGCACUUUAAGUUGGGAGGAAGGGCAGUAAGUUAAUACCUUGCUGUUUUGACGUUACCAACAGAAUAAGCACCGGCUAACUUCGUG